GACGAACGCUGGCGGCGUGCCUAAUACAUGCAAGUCGAGCGCAGGAAACUGACGGAACUCUUCGGAGGGAAGGCAGUGGAAUGAGCGGCGGACGGGUGAGUAACACGUAAGGAACCUGCCUCAAGGAUUGGGAUAACUCCGAGAAAUCGGAGCUAAUACCGGAUAGUUCAACGGACCGCAUGGUCCGUUGAUGAAAGGCGCUCCGGCGUCACCUUGAGAUGGCCUUGCGGUGCAUUAGCUAGUCGGUGGGGUAACGGCUCACCAAGGCGACGGUGCAUAGCCGACCUGAGAGGGUGAUCGGCCACACUGGGACUGAGACACGGCCCAGACUCCUACGGGAGGCAGCAGUAGGGAAUCUUCCACAAUGGACGAAAGUCUGAUGGAGCAACGCCGCGUGAGUGAUGAAGGUUUUCGGAUCGUAAAACUCUGUUGUAAGGGAAGAACACGUACGAGAGGAAAUGCUCGUACCUUGACGGUACCUUACGAGAAAGCCACGGCUAACUACGUGCCAGCCGCCGCAGUAA
Molecule: ribosomal RNA, 524 nt
Filed under: uncultured bacterium
Lineage: Bacteria
Description: partial 16S ribosomal RNA
Rfam family: Bacterial small subunit ribosomal RNA
Source: RNAcentral